This 249-nucleotide ribosomal RNA is filed under the name uncultured bacterium. RNAcentral describes it as "partial 16S ribosomal RNA". It matches the Rfam family "Bacterial small subunit ribosomal RNA", at positions 524 to 772 of the family's 1533-position model. The record is from RNAcentral.
UACGAAGGGGGCUAGCGUUGCUCGGAAUCACUGGGCGUAAAGGGUGCGUAGGCGGGUCUUUAAGUCAGGGGUGAAAUCCUGGAGCUCAACUCCAGAACUGCCUUUGAUACUGAGGGUCUUGAGUUCGGGAGAGGUGAGUGGAACUGCGAGUGUAGAGGUGAAAUUCGUAGAUAUUCGCAAGAACACCAGUGGCGAAGGCGGCUCACUGGCCCGAUACUGACGCUGAGGAGCGAAAGCGUGGGGAGCAGA